UGCGCGUCAAGGAUAGCCUAGGUGGGAUUAGCUAGUUGGUGAGGUAAGGGCUCACCAAGGCGACGAUCCCUAGCUGGUCUGAGAGGAUGAUCAGCCACACUGGAACUGAGACACGGUCCAGACUCCUACGGGAGGCAGCAGUGGGGAAUAUUGCACAAUGGGCGCAAGCCUGAUGCAGCCAUGCCGCGUGUNUGAAGAAGGCCUUCGGGUUGUAAAGCACUUUCAGUCGUGAGGAAGGUGGUGUAGUUAAUAGCUGCAUUAUUNGACGUUAGCGACAGAAGAAGCACCGGCUAACUCCGUGCCAGCAGCCGCGGUAAUACGGAGGGUGCGAGCGUUAAUCGGAAUUACUGGGCGUAAAGCGCAUGCAGGUGGUUUGUUAAGUCAGAUGUGAAAGCCCGGGGCUCAACCUCGGAAUAGCAUUUGAAACUGGCAGACUAGAGUACUGUAGAGGGGGGUAGAAUUUCA
Molecule: ribosomal RNA, 465 nt
Filed under: Vibrio alginolyticus
Lineage: Bacteria; Pseudomonadati; Pseudomonadota; Gammaproteobacteria; Vibrionales; Vibrionaceae
Description: bacterial SSU rRNA
Rfam family: Bacterial small subunit ribosomal RNA
Source: RNAcentral